UAUCUGGAAGUUCAAGCCCGAAA
RNAcentral lists this non-coding RNA (23 nucleotides) under Arabidopsis thaliana (thale cress). Lineage: Eukaryota; Viridiplantae; Streptophyta; Magnoliopsida; Brassicales; Brassicaceae. The record is from RNAcentral.